UGGGGAAUAUUGGACAAUGGGCGCAAGCCUGAUCCAGCCAUGCCGCGUGAGUGAUGAAGGCCCUAGGGUUGUAAAGCUCUUUCACCGGUGAAGAUAAUGACGGUAACCGGAGAAGAAGCCCCGGCUAACUUCGUGCCAGCAGCCGCGGUAAUACGAAGGGGGCUAGCGUUGUUCGGAUUUACUGGGCGUAAAGCGCACGUAGGCGGACUUUUAAGUCAGGGGUGAAAACCCGGGGCUCAACCCCGGAACUGCCUUUGAUAAUGGAAGUCUUGAGUAUGGUAGAGGUGAGUGGAAUUCCGCGUGUAGAGGUGAAAUUCGUAGAUAUUCGGGGGAACACCAGUGGCGAAGGCGGCUGACUGGACCAUUACUGACGCUGAGGUGCGAAAGCGUGGGGAGCAAACAGG
Molecule: ribosomal RNA, 404 nt
Filed under: Actinomycetes bacterium
Lineage: Bacteria; Bacillati; Actinomycetota; Actinomycetes
Description: Actinobacteria bacterium partial 16S ribosomal RNA
Rfam family: Bacterial small subunit ribosomal RNA
Source: RNAcentral